GGGAAUUUUUUUGCAAUGGGCGAAAGCCUGACGGAGCAAUACCGCGUGAGGGAGGAAGGCUCUUGGGUCGUAAACCUCUUUUCUCAGGGAAGAACACAAUGACGGUACCUGAGGAAUAAGCAUCGGCUAACUCCGUGCCAGCAGCCGCGGUAAUACGGAGGAUGCAAGCGUUAUCCGGAAUGAUUGGGCGUAAAGCGUCCGCAGGUGGCGAUGUAAGUCUGCUGUUAAAGAGUCUAGCUCAACUAGAUAAGAGCAGUGGAAACUACAUAGCUAGAGUACGUUCGGGGCAGAGGGAAUUCCUGGUGUAGCGGUGAAAUGCGUAGAGAUCAGGAAAGGAACCACCCAAGUGGCGGAAAGGCGCUUCUGCUAGGCC
This 373-nucleotide ribosomal RNA is filed under the name uncultured cyanobacterium. Its description in RNAcentral is "bacterial SSU rRNA". It matches the Rfam family "Bacterial small subunit ribosomal RNA", at positions 356 to 735 of the family's 1533-position model. The record is from RNAcentral. Lineage: Bacteria; Bacillati; Cyanobacteriota.